GAAAUGCUAUAAUUAAUGCGAAUUGCAUAAUUCCUGGAGUCAUCGAAUCUUUGAACGCACAUUGCGCCCGCCAGUAUUCUGGCGGGCAUGCCUUUCCGAACGGCAUUUCAACCAUCAAGCCCUCCCCGGGCUUGCGUUGGGGACUCUGCGGCUGCCCGCAGGCCCCGAAAGACAGUGGCGGGCUCGCUGGCACCACCGAGCGCAGUAGAAUGUCCUCGCUCUGGUCAUGCCGCGUGUCCCAGCCGUGAAACAACCCCCCUUCCACAAGGUUGACCUCGGAUCAGGUAGGAAUACACGCUGAACUUAA
This 307-nucleotide unclassified non-coding RNA is filed under the name uncultured fungus. RNAcentral describes it as "sequence contains ITS1". The stretch from base 1 to 105 matches the Rfam family "5.8S ribosomal RNA", at positions 50 to 154 of the family's 154-position model. Lineage: Eukaryota; Fungi. The record is from RNAcentral.